GGGUUGUGAGGUUAAGCGACUAAGCGUACACGGUGGAUGCCCUGGCAGUCAGAGGCGAUGAAGGACGUGCUAAUCUGCGAUAAGCGUCGGUGAGGUGAUAUGAACCGUUAUAACCGGCGAUUUCCGAAUGGGGAAACCCAGUGUGUUUCGACACACUAUCAUUAACUGAAUCCAUAGGUUAAUGAGGCGAACCGGGGGAACUGAAACAUCUAAGUACCCCGAGGAAAAGAAAUCAACCGAGAUUCCCCCAGUAGCGGCGAGCGAACGGGGAGGAGCCCAGAGCCUGAAUCAGUGUGUGUGUUAGUGGAAGCGUCUGGAAAGGCGUGCGAUACAGGGUGACAGCCCCGUACACAAAAAUGCACAUAUUGUGAGCUCGAUGAGUAGGGCGGGACACGUGGUAUCCUGUCUGAAUAUGGGGGGACCAUCCUCCAAGGCUAAAUACUCCUGACUGACCGAUAGUGAACCAGUACCGUGAGGGAAAGGCGAAAAGAACCCCGGCGAGGGGAGUGAAAAAGAACCUGAAACCGUGUACGUACAAGCAGUGGGAGCCUCUUAAUGGGGUGACUGCGUACCUUUUGUAUAAUGGGUCAGCGACUUAUAUUCUGUAGCAAGGUUAACCGAAUAGGGGAGCCGAAGGGAAACCGAGUCUUAACUGGGCGUUAAGUUGCAGGGUAUAGACCCGAAACCCGGUGAUCUAGCCAUGGGCAGGUUGAAGGUUGGGUAACACUAACUGGAGGACCGAACCGACUAAUGUUGAAAAAUUAGCGGAUGACUUGUGGCUGGGGGUGAAAGGCCAAUCAAACCGGGAGAUAGCUGGUUCUCCCCGAAAGCUAUUUAGGUAGCGCCUCGUGAAUUCAUCUCCGGGGGUAGAGCACUGUUUCGGCAAGGGGGUCAUCCCGACUUACCAACCCGAUGCAAACUGCGAAUACCGGAGAAUGUUAUCACGGGAGACACACGGCGGGUGCUAACGUCCGUCGUGAAGAGGGAAACAACCCAGACCGCCAGCUAAGGUCCCAAAGUCAUGGUUAAGUGGGAAACGAUGUGGGAAGGCCCAGACAGCCAGGAUGUUGGCUUAGAAGCAGCCAUCAUUUAAAGAAAGCGUAAUAGCUCACUGGUCGAGUCGGCCUGCGCGGAAGAUGUAACGGGGCUAAACCAUGCACCGAAGCUGCGGCAGCGACACUAUGUGUUGUUGGGUAGGGGAGCGUUCUGUAAGCCUGUGAAGGUGGCCUGUGAGGGUUGCUGGAGGUAUCAGAAGUGCGAAUGCUGACAUAAGUAACGAUAAAGCGGGUGAAAAGCCCGCUCGCCGGAAGACCAAGGGUUCCUGUCCAACGUUAAUCGGGGCAGGGUGAGUCGACCCCUAAGGCGAGGCCGAAAGGCGUAGUCGAUGGGAAACAGGUUAAUAUUCCUGUACUUGGUGUUACUGCGAAGGGGGGACGGAGAAGGCUAUGUUGGCCGGGCGACGGUUGUCCCGGUUUAAGCGUGUAGGCUGGUUUUCCAGGCAAAUCCGGAAAACCAAGGCUGAGGCGUGAUGACGAGGCACUACGGUGCUGAAGUNNNNNNNNNNNNNNNNNNNNNNNNNNNNNNNNNNNNNNNNNNNNNNNNNNNNNNNNNNNNNNNNNNNNNNNNNNNNNNNNNNNNNNNNNNNNNNNNNNUGACAAAUGCCCUGCUUCCAGGAAAAGCCUCUAAGCAUCAGGUAACAUCAAAUCGUACCCCAAACCGACACAGGUGGUCAGGUAGAGAAUACCAAGGCGCUUGAGAGAACUCGGGUGAAGGAACUAGGCAAAAUGGUGCCGUAACUUCGGGAGAAGGCACGCUGAUAUGUAGGUGAAGCGACUUGCUCGUGGAGCUGAAAUCAGUCGAAGAUACCAGCUGGCUGCAACUGUUUAUUAAAAACACAGCACUGUGCAAACACGAAAGUGGACGUAUACGGUGUGACGCCUGCCCGGUGCCGGAAGGUUAAUUGAUGGGGUUAGCGGUAACGCGAAGCUCUUGAUCGAAGCCCCGGUAAACGGCGGCCGUAACUAUAACGGUCCUAAGGUAGCGAAAUUCCUUGUCGGGUAAGUUCCGACCUGCACGAAUGGCGUAAUGAUGGCCAGGCUGUCUCCACCCGAGACUCAGUGAAAUUGAACUCGCUGUGAAGAUGCAGUGUACCCGCGGCAAGACGGAAAGACCCCGUGAACCUUUACUAUAGCUUGACACUGAACAUUGAGCCUUGAUGUGUAGGAUAGGUGGGAGGCUUUGAAGUGUGGACGCCAGUCUGCAUGGAGCCGACCUUGAAAUACCACCCUUUAAUGUUUGAUGUUCUAACGUUGGCCCGUAAUCCGGGUUGCGGACAGUGUCUGGUGGGUAGUUUGACUGGGGCGGUCUCCUCCUAAAGAGUAACGGAGGAGCACGAAGGUUGGCUAAUCCUGGUCGGACAUCAGGAGGUUAGUGCAAUGGCAUAAGCCAGCUUGACUGCGAGCGUGACGGCGCGAGCAGGUGCGAAAGCAGGUCAUAGUGAUCCGGUGGUUCUGAAUGGAAGGGCCAUCGCUCAACGGAUAAAAGGUACUCCGGGGAUAACAGGCUGAUACCGCCCAAGAGUUCAUAUCGACGGCGGUGUUUGGCACCUCGAUGUCGGCUCAUCACAUCCUGGGGCUGAAGUAGGUCCCAAGGGUAUGGCUGUUCGCCAUUUAAAGUGGUACGCGAGCUGGGUUUAGAACGUCGUGAGACAGUUCGGUCCCUAUCUGCCGUGGGCGCUGGAGAACUGAGGGGGGCUGCUCCUAGUACGAGAGGACCGGAGUGGACGCAUCACUGGUGUUCGGGUUGUCAUGCCAAUGGCACUGCCCGGUAGCUAAAUGCGGAAGAGAUAAGUGCUGAAAGCAUCUAAGCACGAAACUUGCCCCGAGAUGAGUUCUCCCUGACUCCUUGAG
Molecule: ribosomal RNA, 2909 nt
Filed under: Escherichia coli
Lineage: Bacteria; Pseudomonadati; Pseudomonadota; Gammaproteobacteria; Enterobacterales; Enterobacteriaceae
Description: partial 23S ribosomal RNA
Rfam family: Bacterial large subunit ribosomal RNA
Source: RNAcentral